GUAAUGCCUGGGAAUAUGCCCUGAUGUGGGGGAUAACCAUUGGAAACGAUGGCUAAUACCGCAUAAUCUCUUCGGAGCAAAGAGGGGGACCUUCGGGCCUCUCGCGUCAGGAUUAGCCCAGGUGAGAUUAGCUAGUUGGUGAGGUAAGAGCUCACCAAGGCGACGAUCUCUAGCUGGUCUGAGAGGAUGAUCAGCCACACUGGAACUGAGACACGGUCCAGACUCCUACGGGAGGCAGCAGUGGGGAAUAUUGCACAAUGGGGGAAACCCUGAUGCAGCCAUGCCGCGUGUGUGAAGAAGGCCUUCGGGUUGUAAAGCACUUUCAGUCGUGAGGAAGGCAUAUGCGUUAAUAGCGCAUGUGUUUGACGUUAGCGACAGAAGAAGCACCGGCUAACUCCGUGCCAGCAGCCGCGGUAAUACGGAGGGUGCGAGCGUUAAUCGGAAUUACUGGGCGUAAAGCGCAUGCAGGCGGCUUGUUAAGCCAGAUGUGAAAGCCCGGGGCUCAACCUCGGAAUAGCAUUUGGAACUGGCA
RNAcentral lists this ribosomal RNA (532 nucleotides) under Photobacterium sp. CR-II-E10. Its description in RNAcentral is "bacterial SSU rRNA". It matches the Rfam family "Bacterial small subunit ribosomal RNA", at positions 110 to 638 of the family's 1533-position model. Lineage: Bacteria; Pseudomonadati; Pseudomonadota; Gammaproteobacteria; Vibrionales; Vibrionaceae. The record is from RNAcentral.